This 255-nucleotide ribosomal RNA is filed under the name uncultured bacterium. Its description in RNAcentral is "partial 16S ribosomal RNA". It matches the Rfam family "Bacterial small subunit ribosomal RNA", at positions 524 to 776 of the family's 1533-position model. The record is from RNAcentral.
UACAUGGGGAGCAAGCGUUAUCCGGAAUGAUUGGGCGUAAAGCGUCUGUAGGUGGUCCAACAAGUCUAAUGUUAAAUACGAUUGGCUUAACCAACGAGAGGCGUUAGAGUACUGUUGGACUAGAGUGCGGGAGAGGUAGAGGGAAUCCCUAGCGUAACAGUGAAAUGUGUAGAUUUUAGGGAGAACACCAGCGGCGAAGGCGCUCUACUGGACCGAGACUGACACUGAGAGACGAAAGCUAGGGGAGCGAAUAGG